ACAACUCCUGUGAAUAUAAAAACAUUUGCUCUUUAUCUGCCAAAGUUACACGGGGGGAACCAAAUAUUUCAGCCAUCCAAAAUAUGGUGUUUCCCCUCCAUGACAUGGGAACAAAUUAAUUUACCAGCAAGUCUUUUACAUUGUCGUUUUACCGAGAAAUCGAUCAGAAGCGCCAUGAAGACAGUCCGAUCCGCCUUUUGGGCUGCAGUUCGUUCUCCCGAAACAGGGGGAACAGAAUUUGUCAGAACAACAAACAAACAAACAAAAAAAGAAAACAUUUAUUAACGUCCUGAAGUUUGCUGGUGUGCUGCCUACAGGCACCACAUCCUAAUACUGGCACCGCACUCAAGUCAGGUUUUUAACAAGGUUUCCUGAUUUACUCAUUUCCGGACUCAUUGAACGCAUCACCAUCCCAUAAUAGUUGUUUUCUCGCAGCCCAUCCCAUAAUAGUUUCCUCCUCACGUCGGAACAGGACUUCGCUUCGGAGCUCACCGUUCGCUCUCCUUUAGUUGGACCAGUACCUUCAAAUAGUUGCUAAAAUAGUUACUCUUUCACCUCAGUGGAGGACUAUCUUGCCGGGACACUCGUGGGUUAUGUAUCCUCAAUGUUUAUGCGUCCAUGAGACUAUCAAAAAACCCUCACAGCUGAUCCUGGACAGAACGUCACUCUGCCAUGUCGAGCUCCAAACAGCAACAACAUAGUUGUAGAGUGGAGCAGAGCUGACCUGGGGACAGAAUAUGUCCUCCUUUACCGGGAUGAUCGGACUCUUCCAGACAAUCAGCAUCCAUCUUUCAAGAACCGGGUGGAUCUGCAGGACAGACAGAUAAAGGAUGGAGACGUGUCUGUGAUCCUGAAGAACGUGACGUUUAAUGACACUGGAACAUACGAGUGUCGCGUCUUCAUGAGAGGAACAAACCGCUGGAAGAGAGGCCUAUUGAAGACAAAACCCAUCAGCAUCAUCUACCUGAGAGUUGUUGAUCCUCCUCCAGGUCCAGGAGGAGGAACCACAGAGGAUGGAGGGAAGAAGGAAGGAGGGAAGGAGGAUGGAGGGAAGGAGGAUGGAGGGAAGGAGGAUGGAGGGAAGGAGGAUGGAGCUGUUGGUCUGAUUGUUGGUGUGUCAGUUGCUGCUGUGCUUCUUGUUGCUGCUGCUGGUUUUCUGAUCUACAGAAAGAAGCGACAGAAUCAGGGUUCAUAUCAUCCUCCAGCUGAACUGCAGCCUGUUUGAAACGUCUCAGAGUUUUUCCAGAGAACUUUGAGUCUCCUGCUGCAUUCAGGGGGAAAACAGAUGAGAAUAUCCUGAAAUGAAUGUCCAUGAGAUCUUUAGUUUAGUGUUCAGCAUAUAUGGAAAUGAUCAUAUCCGUCUUUAUUUCAUCUCUCUUUGAUUAUUUGAAUUUAUUAUUAUUUAUCUGAGCUGAUCAUCCCAGGAUUGCUUACCAAUGCUCCUGAAUGCUCCUGCAAGCUUUCUCAUCAGGUCCCUCAAAGGUCCCAUGUGACUCUGACCCUGUCUUCCUCACACUGACUCCCCUAAAAGUUCAGGGUUCACUUCAACAUGUGGGAGUGCUUUCAGAGCACCUCCACGGUCAGAUGCCUCCAUAUAUCAGUGAGCUCCUGCAUCCAUGUGUAACAUCGACUCUGUGAGGUGUGCUGAUCUGGACCAAAUCCAGGUUAAAGACUAAAGUGAGCUUUUGAGGUUAAUCUGAGCUGGAAUCAAAGUAAACAAACCACACUGAGAAAAUGUUCAAACUUUCAAAGCCACCAAGAAUCAAAGUGCAGGAAAACCUGAUUAUUGGUUUUCUCUGUAACUCUGUAACUGCAGCAAGAUUUACUGAGUCAUUCUAAUUAUGGAACAAGCUGCAGAGUUAUGAGGCUUUGAUACUGAGAGGAACAAAAACAGUUUAGUCAAUAAAGUUAUUUUAUUGAAGUAUUUAAGACAAGAUGGAGGAUCCCUGCUGCCAGAGAAGAUCAGUUUAACAGCUCAUUUAGGAGUGCUGCCACCUGCUGGACAUUUGAUGUACAGCAUUAUUAUUGUUACAUGAUGGCUGGCGGAUCUUUAUUAUAUAAUUAUUAGGUCAAACUCUCUAUUUGAUACACUCCCUAUCUCCCUAAUAGGUCGUGUUGAAAGCAUUCGUAUGAAUGUCUUACCAAGACUACUUUAUUUAUUCCAGAUGCUGCCAGUGGAGAUCCCCAAACAUACCUUUGUUAACUUUGAUAAAAUGUUGUCUGGAUUCAUCUGGGAAAAAAAGCGACCUAGAAUUAGGCUAAAAACCCUGCAGCUAUCUAAAUCCAAUGGGGGCCUUAAACUCCCAAGCUUAAAAUAUUACUACUGGGCUGCACAGCUUAAACCCUUAUUGGUAUGGAUACAGAACAAUGCAGACACUCGAUGGCUUGAAACAGAGGAAAGCAUGUGCUCAGAGCCACUGCAAACAUCACCCUUCUCAGAUGCCCCUGCAAAAGAAAUGACAAUUUGGACAAAAAACGCUGUUAGAAUUUGGAACAAAAUACAAUCAGCUUUUAAGUUAUCAAAACAGAUCUCACUUUUAACAAAUAUAUGAUUUAUGAAAACUUUUAUACCACAUAAGUUAGAUACUGGGUUCAGAAAUUGGUCUAAUUAUGGACUAUCUGAUAUUCAUCAAUUAAUUGAAGAGGGAAAUUUGAAAACCUUUGAGCAGAUGAAAAAUGAAUUUGGUCUCCCUAAGACAGACUUCCAUAGAUAUUUACAACUUUGAACCUUUGUGACGACACACAAAAAUUGGACUAAAUUUCAUGGGCCUGCACCUAUAGAAAGCUUUCUAAUGAAUAUACAAAGGGGAAAGGGAAAACAUAAAGUAAUUAGUAAAUUAUAUGAUCUAAUCCUAUCUAUGAAUAUGCACGACUCCAUAAACAUAAAGCAGAAAUGGGAGACUGAAAUGAAGGAGACAAUGGCAGAGGGCACAUGGGAGGAAAUAUGCACUGGAGCACAAUUAGCCACAAGCUCUAAUACUUGGAGAGAAUUCAAAUGGAAAGUAAUAAUCAGAUUUUUCAGAACGCCAGCAAUAACUGGUAAAAUGGGUCCAGCAUAGCCGAGCUCAUGCUGGAGAAAUUGUGGACUGCCAACCAUACUCGUAUCUUCUGGCUUUGUCCUAAAUUAAGUUUAUUCUGGGAGGAGAUGUUUGAUGCACUCAAAGCAAUUUUCAGAAGAGACGUCCCAAAACCCCCCCUAGUGGCAGCAUUGGGAGAAAUACCUGAGGGAAAGGACAGGAAGGCCGACAGAUAUCUUCUAAAUAUAUUGCUCACAGCAGCCUUGAAGUGCAUAACCAUUAGAUGGCUAAAACCACGUAUAAUAUAUGGAUUCAAAAAGUUUGGGACAUUUAUUCAAUGGAGGAAAUUACAUACUCUCUAAGGCUUCAAAAACAGUUUUUAAUAUACGCUGGAGCCCAGCCAUGCCCUUAUUAAUACAGUGAUAUACUUAGAGGCAGCCCUUUUGCCCUUAUUAAUACAGUGAUAUACUUAGAGGCAGCCCUUUUGCCCUUACUGUACACUUUCGAAGCAGUAAAAAAUACCAUUGUGCACAAGAAUAUGUGGACCAUCUAACUCAGAGGGGAUUCUAUUAUUUGCUUCUUUUUUUAAUUUGCUUGGUUUUAUUUUGUUUAUCUCUUUGUCAUUUUGUUGUUACUACAGUAUUAUACACUGUACACACUCUUAUCUUAUCUUGUCUUCCUUCAUCAAGAGAAGAAUGUAACUAUGGAAAAGUGUCUUUAUUUA
This is a long non-coding RNA of Archocentrus centrarchus (flier cichlid), 3741 nucleotides long. RefSeq lists it as uncharacterized. The transcript has 3 exons. Lineage: Eukaryota; Metazoa; Chordata; Actinopteri; Cichliformes; Cichlidae. The record is from RefSeq and is a predicted model, not a curated record.